CCCCAGACUCCUACGGGAGGCAGCAGUGGGGAAUAUUGCACAAUGGGGGAAACCCUGAUGCAGCGACGCCGCGUGAGUGAAGAAGUAUUUCGGUAUGUAAAGCUCUAUCAGCAGGGAAGAAAAUGACGGUACCUGACUAAGAAGCCCCGGCUAACUACGUGCCAGCAGCCGCGGUAAUACGUAGGGGGCAAGCGUUAUCCGGAUUUACUGGGUGUAAAGGGAGCGUAGACGGCAUGGCAAGUCAGAUGUGAAAGCCCGGGGCUCAACCCCGGGACUGCAUUUGAAACUGUCAGGCUGGAGUGCAGGAGAGGUAAGUGGAAUUCCUAGUGUAGCGGUGAAAUGCGUAGAUAUUAGGAGGAACACCAGUGGCGAAGGCGGCUUACUGGACUGUAACUGACACUGAGGCUCGAAAGCGUGGGGAGCAAACAGGAUUAGAUACCCCGGUA
This 446-nucleotide ribosomal RNA is filed under the name uncultured bacterium. RNAcentral describes it as "bacterial SSU rRNA". It matches the Rfam family "Bacterial small subunit ribosomal RNA", at positions 329 to 792 of the family's 1533-position model. The record is from RNAcentral.